Podarcis raffonei (Aeolian wall lizard) is the source of this 1622-nucleotide long non-coding RNA. RefSeq lists it as uncharacterized. NCBI's taxonomy places the organism in Eukaryota, Metazoa, Chordata, Lepidosauria, Squamata, Lacertidae. The record is from RefSeq and is a predicted model, not a curated record. The transcript is spliced from 2 exons.
CCAGCAAAUGAGAUCUAUGUUUUUGUUUUUCCAGUGGACAAAAAUUAGGGAACUACAGUUGAAGUAUUGUAACUUUGCAUUGUACAUAGCUUUGCUGCAAUUUAGGCUUCUUGAAGUGUUCAGAACAUAAUGUAUACGUGGCAGUUGUGCUGGUUAUUGCAAACUGGUUUUGAUGCUGCAUUUACAUUGGGCUCUCAGUGUAAUACUCUAUUACUACAGGUAAUAUAGUUUGGUGGAUCAGGCUGGAGGACAUUACUCUCUUAGGGUAUGGCAACCCCCCUCUAGUGAUGACAAGCAGCGUUGUAGAAAGUCUUUUGCCUCCAAAUGGUAGUCACCUCUUUUCCUUUACAGCAAAAAAUCAAAAGGGGAGAGAAAACAAAGAACCCAAAGGGGAAACCUGCACUGACAAAAAGGUGGGGGAGGGGGGUAUCUUGCACUAAAACCCCCACAUUGCUAGGGGGCAAGAGGAAACAAAGGGGAAUGAGAGGCAGUUCAGACAUGCUAAAAGAAGAUUCUCAGAUUUAAGGCCAAAAGAAGGCCAGCAAACACGCCAGGAAGAAGAAGAAGAAGAGGAGGAGGAGGAGGAGGAGGAGUUUGGAUUUGAUAUACCGCUUUAUCACUACCCGAAGGGGUCUCAAAGCGGCUAACAUUCUCCUUUCCCUUCCUCCCCCACAACAAACACUCUGUGAGGUGAGUGGGGCUGAGAGACUUCAGAGAAGUCUGACUAGCCCAAGGUCACCCAGCAGCUGCAUGUGGAGGAGCGGGGAAGUGAACCAGGUUCACCAGGUUACGAGUCCACCGCUCUUAACCACUACACCACACUGGCAAGCCUCCGAGGAGAGCAGGCCAGACCCAGUCAUUCCCAACCACAGACUGGGUUGGCCUGAUGAGUGGGGUGGCCCUCCCACCAGAUAGGAGGCAGAAGACUUUCUAGGACCCCACCUGUCAUCACCAGAGGGAGCUGUCAUUCCCUAUCAGGGGAACGUCCUCCAUCCCAAUCCACAAACUAGAAUUCACAGUAAGAAUUCCCAAGAGGACUAAGGUAUUCAAUGCAUUCGUUUUUUCACCCUAAGGACUUUUGACUGUACAGUGAAAGUUCUCUUCCCUCUUCUUUUUCCAUUCACCCCAUAAAUUCGAUCUGAGUUUCUCCCAACCCUUUGGAGCUUGGUGGGUUGAGUUCAGUUGAUUGCAGUGUGGCUUGGUUUUUUGGGGUGGAGGGGCGGUCCUAGGUUGUUGGGUCAGGUUAGCCAUUUGUAAUGGUGGUGUGAUUUUUUAAAAGAGGCAUUUAUACAAAGGGCAAAACUUACGGAACGUAACUCCGUGUGUGUGUAAACAGGAUUUUGUUGUAAUUUUCUCAUUUCCUUUAAUUUGCAUUUGGCAGCACAAGGCUUCGUAUUAAGAUAGGGUCUCUUAGUACAUUGUGCUUUAAACAGCUUCAUCACUUGUUAGUAAAACUGGUAUUUGACAGUUAAAGGAAGAGAAUUGUGGUUACAUGGUGGUUUUUCCACAUUGUAUUCUGCUGUCACCAUGUGGUUAGUCUUUUUUUUGCCUUGUCAUUUGUUAACACCAUCCAGAAUUUUAUUGUCUAGGAUGUGGUAUAAUAAAGUUUUCUGACAGAUGAA